This 520-nucleotide ribosomal RNA is filed under the name uncultured Entrophospora. Its description in RNAcentral is "SSU rRNA". It matches the Rfam family "Eukaryotic small subunit ribosomal RNA", at positions 569 to 1084 of the family's 1831-position model. Lineage: Eukaryota; Fungi; Glomeromycota; Glomeromycetes; Entrophosporales; Entrophosporaceae. The record is from RNAcentral.
AGCAGCCGCGGUAAUUCCAGCUCCAAUAGCGUAUAUUAAAGUUGUUGCAGUUAAAAAGCUCGUAGUUGAAUUUCGGGAUUAACGUGACGGUCGUGCCUUAAGGGGUAUGAACUGUUACAGUUAAUUUCUCACCUUCUGGAGAAAUAUGAUGUCCUUAAUUGGGUGUCAUAUGGAACCAGGACUUUUACCUUGAAAAAAUUAGAGUGUUUAAAGCAAGCUUAUUGCUCGAAUACAUUAGCAUGGAAUAAUAAAAUAGGACGGCUUGAUUCUAUUUUGUUGGUUUCUAGGAUCACCGUAAUGAUUAAUAGGGAUAGUUGGGGGCAUUAGUAUUCAAUUGUCAGAGGUGAAAUUCUUGGAUUUAUUGAAGACUAACUACUGCGAAAGCAUUUGCCAAGGAUGUUUUCAUUAAUCAAGAACGAAAGUUAGGGGAUCGAAGACGAUCAGAUACCGUCGUAGUCUUAACCAUAAACUAUGCCGACUAGGAAUCAGACGAUGUUAAUUUUUAAUGUACUCGUUUGGC